UUUCCGGUUGAUCCUGCCGGACCUGACUGCUAUCGGAUUGAUACUAAGCCAUGCGAGUCUUUGCAGUAAUGCAAGGCAUACGGCUCAGUAACACGUAGUCAACUUACCCUAUGGACGAGGAUAAUCUCGGGAAACUGAGCAUAAUACUCGAUAGAUCAUAAUGCCUGGAAUGGUUUAUGGUUGAAAUGAUUCGUCGCCAUAGGAUGGGACUGCGGCCUAUCAGCUUGUUGGUGAGGUAAUGGCCCACCAAGGCGAUUACAGGUACGGGCUCUGAGAGGAGAAGCCCGGAGAUGGGUACUGAGACAAGGACCCAGGCCCUAUGGGGCGCAGCAGGCGAGAAAACUUUGCAAUGUGCGAAAGCACGACAAGGUUAAUCCGAGUGAUUUCUGCUAAAGAAAUCUUUUGCAAGUCAUAAAACCACUAGUGAAUAAGGGGUGGGCAAGUUCUGGUGUCAGCCGCCGCGGUAAAACCAGCACCUCAAGUGGUCAGGAGGAUUAUUGGGCCUAAAGCAUCCGUAGCCGGCUCUGUAAGUUUUCGGUUAAAUCCAUGUGCUCAACGCAUGGGCUGCCGAAAAUACUGCAUAGCUAGGGAGUGGGAGAGGUAGACGGUACUCGGUAGGAAGGGGUAAAAUCCUUUGAUCUAUCGAUGACCACCUGUGGCGAAGGCGGUCUACCAGAACACGUUCGACGGUGAGGGAUGAAAGCUGGGGGAGCAAACCGGAUUAGAUACCCGGGUAGUCCCAGCUGUAAACGAUGCAGACUCGAUGAUGCAUUGGCA
This 777-nucleotide ribosomal RNA is filed under the name uncultured archaeon. RNAcentral describes it as "bacterial SSU rRNA". It matches the Rfam family "Archaeal small subunit ribosomal RNA", at positions 1 to 784 of the family's 1478-position model. The record is from RNAcentral.